This 489-nucleotide ribosomal RNA is filed under the name Bifidobacterium pseudolongum subsp. pseudolongum. RNAcentral describes it as "bacterial SSU rRNA". It matches the Rfam family "Bacterial small subunit ribosomal RNA", at positions 34 to 520 of the family's 1533-position model. Lineage: Bacteria; Bacillati; Actinomycetota; Actinomycetes; Bifidobacteriales; Bifidobacteriaceae. The record is from RNAcentral.
CGCUGGCGGCGUGCUUAACACAUGCAAGUCGAACGGGAUCCCUGGCAGCUUGCUGCCNGGGUGANAGUGGCGAACGGGUGAGUAUGCGUGACCGACCUGCCCCAUGCACCGGAAUAGCUCCUGGAAACGGGUGGUAAUGCCGGAUGUUCCACAUGAGCGCAUGCGAGUGUGGGAAAGGCUUUUUGCGGCAUGGNAUGGGGUCNCGUCCUAUCAGCUUGUUGGUGGGGUAACGGCCUACCAAGGCGUUGACGGGUAGCCGGCCUGANAGGGCGACCGGCCACAUUGGGACUGAGAUACGGCCCANACUCCUACGGGAGGCAGCAGUGGGGAAUAUUGCACAAUGGGCGCAAGCCUGAUGCANCGACNCCGCGUGCGGGAUGGAGGCCUUCGGGUUGUAAACCGCUUUUGUUCAAGGGCAAAGGCACGGUUUCGGCCGUGUUGAGUGGAUUGUUCNAAUAAGCACCGGCUACUACGUGCCAGCAGCCGCGG